This 76-nucleotide microRNA precursor is filed under the name Strigamia maritima. RNAcentral's name for it is "microRNA mir-263". Lineage: Eukaryota; Metazoa; Arthropoda; Chilopoda; Geophilomorpha; Linotaeniidae. The record is from RNAcentral.
UGCCACUCAACUAGUAAGGUCACUUGACCCACGGGUUUAAACCCGUGGGUCAAGUGACCUUACUAGUUGAGUGGCA